CAAUUGUUGAAAUCGACGCCGGUGUUUGGAAGACUUCGUUGUCGUUUGGAUCAGUUAUGGUGAUGUCGUCGAUUUCAGCCAAAAGGAGAGAGAGUUAGUCUGUCAGUGAGAGGGGCAAUUGGAGGAAAAAUGAAAGUGUAGGCACUAUACACCAUCACAUGUUGUGUAAGAGAUGUGACUCCAAACGGUUGAAAAAUGAAUUAAUGGGGAAAAAGAAUGGCUACCAAACAGUCCCUAAAUAAUUUUUACGAUUAAAAUUAAGUUGUAUUAAUUGAAAUUUUUUAUAUUUUAUCAAACAAACAUGUACUGGAUUGAUUAACCAAUACAAAGAAUUUUCGCCUAAUCAAAAUUUUAAUUAAUAUCGUAAGUGAAUCUAUGAACCUGAUC
This 387-nucleotide long non-coding RNA is filed under the name Olea europaea (common olive). Its description in RNAcentral is "long non-coding RNA (OEUR_LNC000327)". The record is from RNAcentral. Lineage: Eukaryota; Viridiplantae; Streptophyta; Magnoliopsida; Lamiales; Oleaceae.